ACCUGAUGAUGUGGGCAUCUGUGGAGUAGGUCCCUAAAGCGAUCCCAAGUCUUAAAAAGGAUUUCUCUAUCCAUUUGUGAAAAACUUGUGAUGGCUCUCCGAAGCU
Molecule: small nucleolar RNA, 106 nt
Organism: Malania oleifera
Lineage: Eukaryota; Viridiplantae; Streptophyta; Magnoliopsida; Santalales; Ximeniaceae
Source: RefSeq, a predicted model, not a curated record